UUGAGCCCCAAUCCAUCCCCUUGGUCUCAUGCUCCUAGGAACGGAGCACCGCCGACUCCUUCGUCGCUGGCCGUCGCCGCCGCGACCAAGAACGUCUCUUCGCCGCCACUGGGCCGCCCCAUCCUCGCGCUCCCCUCUUCUUCCCCGGCCACGCCGUCUUGGCGCCGUGCCGCUCCCGUCGCGGUGAUCAUCUCGCCACGGGCGGACAACUCCAUCAGCCCGCCUCGGCGUCAAACCCGCCAGGACAUCCUUGCCGCCGGCAUCCCCUUUCUCGCUUCCGAGCCCUCAUCACCAACGCCGUCUCGCCUCGCCCGUCGGAGGAGAAUGCGGCCAACUGUUGUGCUCGGUAGAUCCAUCCAAAGCAAGCAAAUUACAUGGAUUGAGCUAACUCACAGUUUUCUCGCAUGCAGAACUGCUGAAGAUGUGACCAAACUGAAAGCAGAGUAGAUUAAUCCGGUGCCAUGCUUGAGAAUACCAGCGUCGUGGUGAUGAUAUGAGUAAGAAGAGACCCUGCGAGUGUUGGUAAAUCGACGCAGUUAUAGUUGAAGUAGGCAAUUGAUAGCGGCUGUUUUUUCUAGUUUAAUUGGCAGUGAUUGAUGAAGAGGAAAGGAUGGGUGGAGCGCAGGAUAUGAACGGCCUCUGUCGCUCCGUCUCCCAAGUAUGUGAGGAUUGCACGGUCCAGGACCAGGAAGCAAGCCGAUCGAAAUCCCCGUCAAUGCGUGGCUUCGCGGAGUGUGUCCAGCAGAGGUUUGCAGGAGUUCGGACGGGCUUGACAGGGCCUGCUAACCAACUUGGGCCUGAUUUCUGUGUCCAGCCGAGAAUAAGAUCUAACGGUGUUUGGCAUCUGACAAUAGAUUGAUCAGACGGCUCUACGGCUCUAAAGUCUCAAUGACGUGGCUUAACCUGGUGCUUC
Molecule: long non-coding RNA, 913 nt
Filed under: Oryza sativa tropical japonica subgroup
Lineage: Eukaryota; Viridiplantae; Streptophyta; Magnoliopsida; Poales; Poaceae
Description: lncRNA OsKeNa_03g0019270
Source: RNAcentral